GUGGGGAAUAUUGGACAAUGGGCGAAAGCCUGAUCCAGCCAUGCCGCGUGUGUGAAGAAGGUCUUCGGAUUGUAAAGCACUUUAAGUUGGGAGGAAGGGCAGUAAGUUAAUACCUUGCUGUUUUGACGUUACCGACAGAAUAAGCACCGGCUAACUUCGUGCCAGCAGCCGCGGUAAUACGAAGGGUGCAAGCGUUAAUCGGAAUUACUGGGCGUAAAGCGCGCGUAGGUGGUUUUGUAAGUUGGAGGUGAAAUCCCCAGGCUCAACCUGGGAACUGCCUCCAAAACUGCAUGACUAGAGUACGGUAGAGGGUAGUGGAAUUUCCUGUGUAGCGGUGAAAUGCGUAGAUAUAGGAAGGAACACCAGUGGCGAAGGCGACUACCUGGACUGAUACUGACACUGAGGUGCGAAAGCGUGGGGAGCAAACAGGAUUAGAAACCCCGGUAGUCC
Molecule: ribosomal RNA, 450 nt
Filed under: uncultured bacterium
Lineage: Bacteria
Description: partial 16S ribosomal RNA
Rfam family: Bacterial small subunit ribosomal RNA
Source: RNAcentral